Molecule: long non-coding RNA, 2348 nt
Organism: Tetranychus urticae (two-spotted spider mite)
Lineage: Eukaryota; Metazoa; Arthropoda; Arachnida; Trombidiformes; Tetranychidae
Source: RefSeq, a predicted model, not a curated record
AAUCAAAUAUGUAAAAUAAUGACAAUAUUGAUUUUGAAAAAACCUCGCUUAAAGUUUACAUUAACCUGUUAGCGGUAAACCAGAAAACCAUGACAACCAAUUUUCAAACGGUCAAAUUGAAUCAAUUUUUUUGAUUUUUUGAUUCAAUCAUUUUUUAUUUUGAUUUUUAAUUCUAACGCUUUGUUUAUUUAAAUCAAUUUCAUUCGUUAAUUUAUCUUGUUGCACUUUACAUGAUCAUCAGUCGUAGGACUGGUUUUUCAACCGGUUUACUGGUUUGCGCUCAACUCAACAUUGUACUUCUGUAACCAAAGAAAACAUGGAGAAGAAACUUGGUUGAUUGGAUUGCUUGUGUUUAAAAAUCUUCAUUUCCUAAUUAAAUUCAGCUGAAUUUAUUUGCUUUCUCAAGAUCAUCAUUUACUCCUUUUUUAGUACAAACAUUAGUUGUCCAUCUUUGAUAAUCUUGCUGACUAUCUCUCAGUUCAUCGUGUUACAGAGAAAGCUUUACUUUUUCCUUCAAGAUUACUUUCAAUUUUAAAUUGAAAACAAAAUUAUAUAUGACAUCUUCAUGGCAUCUUCACCAUCAACUUUAUCAUCGUUCCAAUCACCAACAUGAUCAUUAACCUGUUAUUGGCAAUAUUUCAUUGGCGAAUAGAGAUAUCGAUGCUAACGAUGGAAUUGUGUAUAAUUAUCAGACUCAGUGAAAUCAUUCUAAUCAAGGCUGUUCACUCAAAUCCAAGGAUCUUCCGAGUUGUAUUUAUUUUGUAUACUCAUUCACGUUCCGUGGUCAUGUUUACAUCAAGGUGAUACAUUCCGUCGACCCAUCUAACACAGUUCAAUAAAUAACUGAUGUAUCAAGGAAAGGAAAAUCAUGACAAUAUUCAUCUUCUUCCUUGUGUAUUUUUUGCGAUAGACCGAUGGUUGAAUGGAGUGCAAGACUGUUGACGAUAACAAUUUACAUUAAACAAGCAAUCAAAACACUUUUACUGAAUUGAAACAGGCAACCUCCUAAUGUUUUACCAGAUGGAUUAAACGUUUUGAGGAAAUCAAGAUUACAUUUGAUUACACCACAAAAAUUGUUAAUAAUCAUGAAUGAUGAAUGAUUAGCACAAUAAACCUAGACAAAAGUGAAUUGAGAAAGUAAAUGCAAAAGUAGAGUCAAACAGCAUUCACUUCAGGCACUGAUUAAUUGACAGCAAAUGGACGGGAGAUAAACGGAUAACUGACGUUGAUUAAUGAAUAAUCAAGCAAAUUUAACAGUCCAAUGAUCAGAACAUUUCAAAUUAUUGAUUGAUUGGUCGUUAAAUAAAAGUAAUGGCCGAACAGCAUCGUCUAAAGUGCGACUAAAAUGGCGAGAUGAAGAGACAAGAUUAACCAAAAUGAUUGGACAAUCCGAUUAUUUGAUCAGAUUUUUCUUUAUUUUUCUCUCUUAAAUCUAACCUUAUAGCAGUCGAAAUUAAAUUAAAUGGUUUACUUGGACGGUUAAUGUUAAUGGUGAAGUCAAAGUAGAGUGAUAACUUGUUUCAGGUCAUUUGUUAUUUACUUUUGGGAUCACAACCAAGAGACAGCAUAAAACAAGAUGGUAACUUGCAAAAUGAUUCGGAGGCCACUUUUUAAUAUGAGCUGAUGUUAGGCUAGAUGAUGAUGACCCAUGGUUUUGUUUGGGUUAACUUUAAAAAAGUAUGGCCUUAAGGUUUAAAGGCUUUCGGUUGGUGCAACCUUUCUGACCAGAAAAUACAUUUACAGUUGAAAAAAUAAUGCAUUAUGAUAAGACCUAAAAACUGUAGACGUUUAUCCUUGGACAGAUUUAAAACCGACUCGACCACAUACUGUAUACCCAAACCCGUCCUUUUGGGUUCAAACAUGGAUCAACAAAGUCAUCUUGUUAUCUUCCUUCUCAUCUAACGUCUUCGUCUUCUUGGACUCUACUUGCCUUCAGAUUGUCUUUUGGCUUACAAUCAUACAAAAUCCUUGCUUUUGUAAAUUUACAUCAUCGCGUAAAUCAUCUUAUACCUUAACAACCUUUACUGUAUUUACAUCUCAUGUGAUUAUUUCAAUUCAUUUUUUUCUUCAUCUUCUUUUUUUCCUGUUUCAUUUCUUACAAAUUACUGCCAUCGACCUGAGUAAUUAACAAGUCAAUAAACUAUUCAGUUGAUGGUAAUUUCAAGCUGAUAAUUGUUUUUGGGUGAGAAGUAAAAAUGAAAGAUAAAAAAGCAUCAUUUUGAAUUGACAUCAUUUUGUCUUUUUUAUAUCCAUUCAUUUGUACACAUCAAUUUUUACAAGUUUACUGUUGAUGGUAAUAAUUACUUGAUUGUAAGAUUUUUAUUGCUAAAGUAAAGUCAACAAUUUAG